UCCCUGCUGGCUCAGACAGUAAAGAAUCUGCCUGCAAUGCAGGAAUCCCAGGUUUGAUCUCUGGGUCGGGAA
RNAcentral lists this transfer RNA (72 nucleotides) under Bos taurus (domestic cattle). It matches the Rfam family "tRNA". From Rfam's summary of the family: Transfer RNA (tRNA) molecules are approximately 80 nucleotides in length. Their secondary structure includes four short double-helical elements and three loops (D, anti-codon, and T loops). The record is from Rfam by way of RNAcentral. RNAcentral also lists the same sequence under 5 other names. Lineage: Eukaryota; Metazoa; Chordata; Mammalia; Artiodactyla; Bovidae.